This 928-nucleotide small RNA is filed under the name Pongo abelii (Sumatran orangutan). RNAcentral describes it as "processed transcript". Lineage: Eukaryota; Metazoa; Chordata; Mammalia; Primates; Hominidae. The record is from RNAcentral.
GGCGAGCACGGCCCGCGGGCGGUGUUCGCUGGAGCUGGUGGACCGGGCGGCUGACCGAGGGGCGGGUGCGCGGCGGGGCAGACCGCUGGGGACUGCGGGCGGCGCUGUGUCCGUCGCCAUGACAGAUCAGACCUAUUGUGACCGCCUGGUGCAGGACAUGCCUUUCCUGACAGGCCACGGGCGCUUGAGUGAGCAGCAGGUGGACAGGAUCAUCCUCCAGCUGAACCGUUACUACCCACAGAUCCUUACCAACAAGGAGGCGGAAAAGGUGCUGAGGAGUUCCGGAACCCCAAGGCAUCCUUGCGUGUGCGGCUCUGUGACCUCCUGAGCCACCUGCAGCGGAGCGGUGAGCGGGACUGCCAGGAGUUCUACCGAGCCCUGUAUAUCCAUGCCCAGCCCCUGCACAGCCGCCUGCCCAGCCGCCACGCUCUGCGUAAGUUCCACGUCCCCAACCAUGCAUGCUUGGUGCUGGCCCAGGGAGGGCACCCCAGCCUGCUGUUGAUGGCAUGGAUGUCCUCCAUGACCACCCAAGUCUGCUGCAGCCCAGGCCUGGCAUCCCCUCUCACCUCAGCCCCUCCCCAGAGGCCACCCACUGGCCCCGAGGGGAGAAUGUGGCAGGCACAGGCAGUGCAGAUGUUGGUCUCUGUCUCCCACUUUCUCCUCCUUCCUCCAUCUCUCUCUCUCAUGGCAGUUUUCACACAGCAUGGGGCAUCUUGUACGUCCACUCUUGCCCUUCCUUUUCUAACCUCAUUCCACGGGGAUCCCUUCAUGUCUGUGUGGACAGCAGCCUUGUUCCCACAGCUGCAUGGCGCUUCUAGGUGGUCCCAGCUGGAAUUACCCAACCCCAUGACGGACCCUUUCAUUGCAGCGAUCUGCACACGUGUGGGUGUUUCCAUAGGGCAUUGUCAGGCACGGAUGGCUGGUCCGA